UACCUGUCAACUCUCAAAUCGGAUCUGUGGUCCUAGCGUAGUCACUCACAUUCAGUCACAAGCACACAUCAGCAAACAAGCUGAAUGGAAGGACUUGCUGCCUUAACUGCCCUAACUGCCACUACUGACCUAACUGCCCUAACUGCCCUAACUGCCAUUACUGCCCUAACUGACCUAACUGCCACUACUGACCUAACUGACCUAACUGCCCUAACUGCCACUACUGCCCUAACUGACCUAACUGCCCUAACUGCCACUACUGACCUAACUGACCUAACUGUCCUAACUGCCAUUACUGCCCUAACUGCCCUAACUGCCCUAACUGCCCUAACUGCCAUUACUGCCCUAACUGCCCUAACUGCCAUUACUGCCCUAACUGCCCUAACUGACCUAACUGCCACUACUGACCUAACUGCCACCCCUCAUGUAGUCCAGAAAUCCAGUGGCUCUCAGCUUUUUGGCCUCAAAACCAAGGAUUACUGUACUUAGUAAGCCACCUGUUGCUGUUUCUGGGGCAGCAACCCUUGCAAUGGACCCUGAGGAUUCAAUAGUAAUACUGCAUCCAAACCAGACCUACUGUUCUACUGAGCACGUCUCCUAACGCACAAACAAAUACAAAUAAGUACUUUAGCCCAGGAUUUCCUGCAAGGGGAGGAUGGCACUCACAGAAAAGCUCAAUCUGAAGGUCUGUCUUUAGUCUGAAGAGAUCAGUAUAUUCAACAUGAAGCUCCUCCCAGUUGUUCUUCAUCACUGUUCAAACAAGUGGGAUUGAGUUCAGAGUAAAUAUGGAUCAUUAUUUAUGUUUGAAAAGAGUGAAAGUAAUUAUGGAUCAUAAAUUAUGUUUGGUGCCUAUAAAUCGUUACAAUCUUUAUGGCAUCUGAUAAUUCAUGUGUACAUUUUCCUACUGAUAGUUUUUCUUUGGUGAUGGUAUUGGAAUCAGGACUCACGAUCAAGUUGUGUCUGCAGUUGUGUCUUUUCCUCAGAGAGAGUCGUGUGAUUCCUGAGUAAGUCCUCUAGGUCCCUCUUGGCCUCUGUUCAGGAGAGGGACUUUGUUGGAUUCCAAUAUAAUCACUCACAGUGGUGUCCAAUUUACAUCUUAAUUUCACUGUAGCCAAUGGUAUUGUGAAUUAAUCUUAUGUCUUUACGUUCAGUUUAGGGUCAGGACUAUGCUCAAAAUGCCUUGUCUGUUUGGAUUGCUGCCUACAAAAUGGCCGCCGUGCUUUAUGUGUACCUGGAGUGUUGAAUACCCUAUCUCUCUGCACAAGGGCAAAAUAGCUACAAACCGCUGAAACAACCUUGUAAAAACUGCCAAUAAUUCCUUUUGAGGUAAAGUUCAGAAUGCUGAUUGUGGAAUUAAACAUGGGUAUGUCAGAUUGGCCUUUUAGGACGAGAUGACAUAUACAACAGGCCUCACAAACUACCUCACGUAACACGGAUGAGAUGACAGUUUUUGACAUUAAAGGGACUUUUCAGACUACAGAGCUGUCACAAGGGAUAUUUAGGAGGUGCUAUUUCCAAACCUGUUGGCGACUCCAGAUGCACAAUCGUUUCAUAAAUCGUGUAGUGUGAAAUAUCAUCGGAGAUAAGAUAGUGAUCGUAAAAAAUGAGUCGUGUAGUGUGAACUGAGAGGCAAUCACACACAUGUGUCUGAAGGGGCCUUAAAUGAUUCACCUUGAUGAACAAAGACAAUAGAUUCCACUGGCGUAGCUACCGCCAUCUGGUGGCCCCUAAGAUAUCACAGAACCCUACUUUCAUCCCUAACGGGCGUAUUGCCAAAUGGUGACAGAACCCUACUUUCAUCCCUAAUCAGCGUAUUGCCAAAUGGUGACAGAACCCUAGUUUCAUCCCUAAUCAGCGUACCGCCAUCUGGUGGCUACUUUUGGGAUGACUGAACAUUCAAGACUACAACUUUAUUUUCUCAUGAUCUGGAAACAUGGUACUUGAAAAUGUGUAGAGAAGAAAAGAAAAAAUUGAUUGUAGGUAUACUUUACCCGCCAGUUCCUUCAACAUGGUCCUAAAUCUUUCCUGUAUGUCUGUAGGGGAAAAGUGGCAGGCUAUGAUUCAGGAACUUAAAAGCUAAAAUGAGCAGGUUGAAUAUAUUUUGUAUAUUUUGGUAUUUAAGGUUUUUUUUAUGAGUAUUAAGACAGUUAUUGGCUCUCUGAAGUACCAUAUCCAGAUCAUAAUUUCAUGUCAAUUUAAUGUGUAUCAUAUGCAAUGUAAAGUUUCUUGUGCAUUUCUGAGUAAGGUUCACAUACAAAUAAUGUUCAUCAAAUAAUAAAAAGUAGCUAGUCUGUAUACCAUCAGUGUGACGGAGUGCCGUCACUAUACGCUUGAGUAUAUAUACAUUAUACAUAUAUUAUUAUAUGUAUAAUAAUUAUUAUAUAUAUAUAAUGAUUUGUCACUCUACGGUUGAGUAUAUAUAUUAUAUGUGUAUAAUGAUGCAAAAUCAUUUCAUCUGAAUGUGCUGUACCAUCUAGUUCCAUCUGUGAGCCCCUGGACAGUCCUGAAGAGAGAGAGAGAAUUGGAUUGGAAGUGAUAGGAAGGAAACAUGUUUCAUUUAAGAUUUAUUUUCAUAGUAUCUUGGUGGAAUGCUAGGAAAUAAAUAGGCUUAAAUUAAAAAACGAUUCUAAAAAGUAGAAUGACUGCAUAUCAGUGAGCACAUACACACAUACACUCACACACACACACACACACACACACACACUCAGUCACACACACUCACACACACACACACACUCUCACACACACUCACACACUCACACACACACACACACACACACACACACACACACACACACACACACACUCAUACACACACACACACACACACACACACUCACCAGAGCUAUUGUUUCUGACGCCAGGCAGGAUCCCCAUCUCACAUUUCUCAUGUAGAAGAUCUAUGGGAGAGGAGAGGGAAAAACAUCAACACCAGGUGCGUGUGCGUGCGUGUGUGUGUG
Molecule: long non-coding RNA, 2960 nt
Organism: Clupea harengus (Atlantic herring)
Lineage: Eukaryota; Metazoa; Chordata; Actinopteri; Clupeiformes; Clupeidae
Source: Ensembl